RNAcentral lists this ribosomal RNA (1922 nucleotides) under Rheinheimera tangshanensis. RNAcentral describes it as "Pararheinheimera tangshanensis partial 23S ribosomal RNA". It matches the Rfam family "Bacterial large subunit ribosomal RNA", at positions 1 to 1962 of the family's 2925-position model. Lineage: Bacteria; Pseudomonadati; Pseudomonadota; Gammaproteobacteria; Chromatiales; Chromatiaceae. The record is from RNAcentral.
GUUGUAUGGUUAAGUGACUAAGCGUACACGGUGGAUGCCUUGGCAGUCAGAGGCGAUGAAGGACGUGCUAACCUGCGAAAAGCUGUGAGAAGUCGGUAAGAGACGUUAGACUCACAGAUGUCCGAAUGGGGAAACCCACCUGAUUUAUCAGGUAUCGUAUGAUGAAUACAUAGUCAUACGAGGCGAACCGGGAGAACUGAAACAUCUAAGUACCCCGAGGAAAAGAAAUCAACCGAGAUCCCCUUAGUAGCGGCGAGCGAACGGGGGCUAGCCCUUAAGUUGAUAAAGAGUUAGUGGAACGCUCUGGAAAGUGCGGCGAUACAGGGUGAUAGCCCCGUACACGAAAAGGCUUUAUCAAUGAAAACGAGUAGGACGGGACACGUGGUAUCCUGUUUGAACAUGGGGGGACCAUCCUCCAAGGCUAAAUACUCCUGACUGACCGAUAGUGAACCAGUACCGUGAGGGAAAGGCGAAAAGAACCCCUGUUAGGGGAGUGAAAUAGAACCUGAAACCGUGUACGUACAAGCAGUGGGAGCCCACUUGUUGGGUGACUGCGUACCUUUUGUAUAAUGGGUCAGCGACUUACAUUCUGUAGCGAGGUUAACCGAAUAGGGGAGCCGUAGGGAAACCGAGUCUUAACUGGGCGAAUAGUUGCAGGGUGUAGACCCGAAACCGGGCGAUCUAUCCAUGAGCAGGUUGAAGGUUGGGUAACACUAACUGGAGGACCGAACCCACAAAUGUUGAAAAAUUUGGGGAUGACUUGUGGAUCGGAGUGAAAGGCUAAUCAAGCUCGGAGAUAUCUGGUUCUCCUCGAAAGCUAUUUAGGUAGCGCCUCGAGCGAAUACCAUUGGGGGUAGAGCACUGUUAAGGCUAGGGGGUCAUCCCGACUUACCAACCCUUUGCAAACUCCGAAUACCAAUGAGUACUACUCGGGAGACACACGACGGGUGCUAACGUCCGCCGUGAAAAGGGAAACAACCCAGACCACCAGCUAAGGUCCCAAAGUCAUGGUUAAGUGGAAAACGAUGUGGAAAGGCAUAGACAGCUAGGAGGUUGGCUUAGAAGCAGCCACCCUUUAAAGAAAGCGUAAUAGCUCACUAGUCGAGUCGGUCUGCGCGGAAGAUGUAACGGGGCUAAACCAUGCACCGAAGCUGUGGACUUGCACUAAGUGCAAGUGGUAGAGGAGCGUUCUGUAAGCCGUUGAAGGUAUCUCGUGAGGGGUGCUGGAGGUAUCAGAAGUGCGAAUGCUGACAUAAGUAACGAUAAGGGGAGUGAAAAACUUCCCCGCCGGAAGACCAAGGGUUCCUAUCCCAUGCUAAUCAGGGUAGGGUAAGUCGGCCCCUAAGGCGAGGGCGAAAGCCGUAGUCGAUGGGAAACGGGUUAAUAUUCCCGUACCGACAAUACUGCGAUGGGGGGACGGAGAAAGCUAGGCAGGCAUGGCGUUGGUAGUCCAUGUGAAAGUGCGUAGGAAGGGGGAUUAGGCAAAUCCGGUUCCCUAUAUUCUGAGACACGAGACGAGCCACUACGGUGGUGAAGCUGUUGACGCUACGCUUCCAGGAAAAGCCUCUAAGCUUCAGGUAUUGUUGACCGUACUCGAAACCGACACAGGUGGUCAGGUAGAGCAUACCAAGGCGCUUGAGAGAACUCUGGUGAAGGAACUAGGCAAAAUAGUACCGUAACUUCGGGAGAAGGUACGCUCUUGUGGGUGAAGGACUUGCUCCGUAAGCCUAUGAGAGUCGCAGUGACCAGCUGGCUGCAACUGUUUAUUAAAAACACAGCACUCUGCAAACUCGUAAGAGGACGUAUAGGGUGUGACACCUGCCCGGUGCCGGAAGGUUAAUUGAUGGGGUUAGCGCAAGCGAAGCUCUUGAUCGAAGCCCCGGUAAACGGCGGCCGUAACUAUAACGGUCCUAAGGUAGCGA